UUGAAAAGUCGAAGUAACGCCCGCCAAUAUGGCGGGAGGAAAGUCCGGACAGCAGGAAGUAGGGUGGCUUCUGAAAGGGAGCACUCCAAACGCCUGGUCGUUUGGGGCUAGAUAGGGCCACAGAGACGAGUCCCGAUGUUACGUCGGGAAGUGAAACGAGGCAACCCUCCCCGCUGCAACCUCCGACUGAGACGUUUGAGGCGCUUCCCCGAGUCUCGAAGUUUGAGGGCCUAGAUAGAUGUUACUUUAGAAACAGAAUCCGGCUUACGAGCUUUUUAAAAAC
This 283-nucleotide RNase P RNA is filed under the name Patescibacteria group bacterium. RNAcentral's name for it is "RNase P RNA component class A". It matches the Rfam family "Bacterial RNase P class A". Rfam says of the family: Ribonuclease P (RNase P) is a ubiquitous endoribonuclease, found in archaea, bacteria and eukarya as well as chloroplasts and mitochondria. The record is from RNAcentral.